This 869-nucleotide small RNA is filed under the name uncultured zygomycete. Its description in RNAcentral is "eukaryotic LSU rRNA". The stretch from base 605 to 869 matches the Rfam family "Eukaryotic large subunit ribosomal RNA", at positions 1 to 261 of the family's 3401-position model. The record is from RNAcentral. Lineage: Eukaryota; Fungi.
AAGUCGUAACAAGGUUUCCGUAGGUGAACCUGCGGAAGGAUCAUUCAUAAUAAGUGUUUUAUGGCACUUUUUAAAUCCAUAUCCACCUUGUGUGCAAUGUCAGUCGAUCUUCUUCAUGGAGAUCGACCAAACAUCAACCUUUAUUUUUUAACUCUUUGUCUGAAAAAUAUUAUGAAUAAACAAUUCAAAAUACAACUUUCAACAACGGAUCUCUUGGCUCUCGCAUCGAUGAAGAACGCAGCGAAAUGCGAUACGUAAUGUGAAUUGCAGAAUUCAGUGAAUCAUCGGAUCUUUGAACGCAUAUUGCGCUCUUUGGUAUUCCGAAGAGCAUGCUUGUUUGAGUAUCAGUAAACACCUCAAAGCUUUUGGAUUUUUUAAUCGAAAAGCUUUGGACUUGAGCAAUCCCAACACCAAUCUUUUUGAGAUCGGUGGCGGGUUGCUUGAAAUGCAGGUGCAGCUGGACAUUCUCCUGAGCCAAAAGCAUAUUCAUUUAGUCCCGUCAAACGGAUUAUUACUUUUGCUGCAGCUAACAUAAAGGGAGUUUGACCGUAUUGGCUGACUGAUGCAGGAUUUCACAAGGGUCGGCAACGAUUCUUGUUAAACUCGAUCUCAAAUCAAGUAAGACUACCCGCUGAACUUAAGCAUAUCAAUAAGCGGAGGAAAAGAAACUAACAAGGAUUCCCCUAGUAACGGCGAGUGAAGCGGGAUGAGCUCAAAUUUAAAAUCUGGCUGGUUUACUAGUCCGAAUUGUAGUUUAUAGAAGCGUUUUCGGUGGCAGCCUGGGUAUAAAUCCUUUGGAAUAGGGUAUCAUAGAGGGUGAGAAUCCCGUCUUUGACUCAGUGCAUGCUACUAUGUGAUACGUUUUCAAA